RNAcentral lists this transfer RNA (68 nucleotides) under Schistocerca nitens (vagrant locust). RNAcentral describes it as "tRNA-Asp". Lineage: Eukaryota; Metazoa; Arthropoda; Insecta; Orthoptera; Acrididae. The record is from RNAcentral.
AAGGAGUUAGUUAAUAUAUAUAACAUUAGAGUGUCAAUCUAAAAUAACUAAAUAAUUAGUACACCUUG